UUAUGGCUCAGGAUGAACGCUAGCUACAGGCUUAACACAUGCAAGUCGAGGGGCAGCAUUGGGAUAGCUUGCUAUUCCAGAUGGCGACCGGCGCACGGGUGAGUAACGCGUAUCCAACCUUCCCCAUAGUAGGGCACAGCCCGGCGAAAGUCGGAUUAAUUCCCUAUGCAGUCCAGAGAGGACAUCUGACCUGGACGAAAGAUUCAUCGCUAUGGGAUGGGGAUGCGUCUGAUUAGGUUGCAGGCGGGGUAACGGCCCACCUGGCCGACGAUCAGUAGGGGUUCUGAGAGGAAGGUCCCCCACAUUGGAACUGAGACACGGUCCAAACUCCUACGGGAGGCAGCAGUGAGGAAUAUUGGUCAAUGGACGGAAGUCUGAACCAGCCAAGUAGCGUGCAGGAAGACGGCCCUAUGGGUUGUAAACUGCUUUUAUCAGGGGAUAAAGUGAGGUAUGUAUACCUUUUUGCAUGUACCUGAUGAAUAAGGACCGGCUAAUUCCGUGCCAGCCGCGGC
Molecule: ribosomal RNA, 512 nt
Filed under: uncultured bacterium
Lineage: Bacteria
Description: bacterial SSU rRNA
Rfam family: Bacterial small subunit ribosomal RNA
Source: RNAcentral